RNAcentral lists this ribosomal RNA (626 nucleotides) under uncultured bacterium. Its description in RNAcentral is "bacterial SSU rRNA". The stretch from base 1 to 521 matches the Rfam family "Bacterial small subunit ribosomal RNA", at positions 338 to 873 of the family's 1533-position model. The record is from RNAcentral.
CCUACGGGAGGCAGCAGUGGGGAAUAUUGGACAAUGGGCGAAAGCCUGAUCCAGCAAUGCCGCGUGAGUGAUGAAGGCCUUAGGGUUGUAAAGCUCUUUUACCAGGGAUGAUAAUGACAGUACCUGGAGAAUAAGCUCCGGCUAACUCCGUGCCAGCAGCCGCGGUAAUACGGAGGGAGCUAGCGUUGUUCGGAAUUACUGGGCGUAAAGCGUACGUAGGCGGUUAUUCAAGUCAGAGGUGAAAGCCUGGAGCUCAACUCCAGAACUGCCUUUGAAACUAGAUAGCUAGAAUCUUGGAGAGGUGAGUGGAAUUCCGAGUGUAGAGGUGAAAUUCGUAGAUAUUCGGAAGAACACCAGUGGCGAAGGCGACUCACUGGACAAGUAUUGACGCUGAGGUACGAAAGCGUGGGGAGCAAACAGGAUUAGAUACCCUGGUAGUCCACGCCGUAAACGAUGAUAACUAGCUGUUCGGGCUCUACGAGCUUGAGUGGCGCAGCUACGACAUUAAGUUAAGUUCCGUCCGUCGGGGAGGUACGGUACGGCGAAGAAGUUAAAACGUUAACGUAAAGUUAAAGUUAGUACGGCGUUGAGACGUUGCCGACGGACGACGACGAGGGGAGGUUAGG